This 485-nucleotide ribosomal RNA is filed under the name uncultured bacterium. RNAcentral describes it as "bacterial SSU rRNA". It matches the Rfam family "Bacterial small subunit ribosomal RNA", at positions 25 to 507 of the family's 1533-position model. The record is from RNAcentral.
CAGGAUGAACGCUAGCGGCAGGCUUAAUACAUGCAAGUCGUGGGGCAGCAUGAGUAGCAAUACUUGAUGGCGACCGGCAACGGGUGAGGAACACGUACACUAACCUUCCUUCAAGCGGGGAAUAGCCCAGAGAAAUUUGGAUUAAUACCCAUAAUAUAUUUGACAAGGCAUCUUAUUAAUAUUAAAGCUUCGGCACUUGAUGAUGGGUGUGCGGCUGAUUAGAUAGUUGGCGGGUAACGGCCCACCAAGUCUACGAUCAGUAGCUGAUGUGAGAGCAUGAUCAGCCACACGGGCACUGAGACACGGGCCCGACUCCUACGGGAGGCAGCAGUAAGGAAUAUUGGACAAUGGACGAAAGUCUGAUCCAGCCAUGCCGCGUGAAGGAUUAAGGUCCUCUGGAUUGUAAACUUCUUUUAUAUGGGACGAAAAAGGGCAUUCUUGUUCACUUGACGGUACCAUAUGAAUAAGCACCGGCUAACUCCGUG